CAUAUUCAUUUAUUAUAUCAAAAAUUUAUUUAGAACGGAAAAUGUAUCAUUUUUUAUUUAAAUUGCUGGUUGUUUGUAUUGUAAUUAUCCUGCGGCCAACCUAUUCUAUGGUUAACAAUUAUGUUAACUCUUUUCGAACGAGCAAUUUAAAUACUGUUCUACUUCACUGCGCAAAUGGUGAUAAAGAAUGGCCUUGCGAACCUCAAUUACUUAUAACUAUUAACUUUAUACCCAAUUUAAAUGUGGAAGCUCACGACAACCUUCUUAUACUGGAUGAUGCUUACGAGCCUACUAAACGUCAAAAUUUAAAAAUAAUGUCUCCGUACAUAAUUAUAGUUAGCAGAAGCGAGCCAAUAAUUAUGCACCCACUACUGAAACCAAAAUGGACGAGUUUUAAUAAUUAUAGUGGUUGGAUAGUCGGGGAGUGAACCAGGGUGGCUUUGAAGAAGCGAUUGAGAGAAUUGAAUUAGGAAUACAAGCAUCUAAGAUGGAGUUCAGG
This is a long non-coding RNA of Drosophila montana, 499 nucleotides long. RefSeq lists it as uncharacterized. The record is from RefSeq and is a predicted model, not a curated record. Lineage: Eukaryota; Metazoa; Arthropoda; Insecta; Diptera; Drosophilidae. The transcript is spliced from 3 exons.